ACCCUCUGGUAAUGGGCAAAGAGAUACCUUGCUGGUGGUGUUGUUCUUCUAUUAGUCAGGGGCAGGGCAGUUGGCAGUCCUUUCUUUAUCCUAGCUUGAUGCGUGCUUUGGUGGCCAAAGCUGUUUCUGCCAAGACACAUAA
This is a small nucleolar RNA of Acomys russatus (golden spiny mouse), 142 nucleotides long. RefSeq annotates it as small nucleolar RNA SNORA48. Lineage: Eukaryota; Metazoa; Chordata; Mammalia; Rodentia; Muridae. The record is from RefSeq and is a predicted model, not a curated record. The transcript has a single exon.